Non-coding RNA from Podarcis lilfordi (Lilford's wall lizard), 22248 nucleotides. The record is from the annotation of a GenBank genome assembly. NCBI's taxonomy places the organism in Eukaryota, Metazoa, Chordata, Lepidosauria, Squamata, Lacertidae.
CAUAUUCACUGAUGUGCAGUGUACUCUUUUUUUGGACUGCCAUCAGGUGUUACAGUUAUGCACAUGGUAAGUAUGUGUAUCAAGUUAACGGGUUAUACAAUACAAGCCCGCAAGAGAUUGCUUGGAAAACGACAAAUGUACAACCAGAGAAGGCACAGUGCAGAUUGACUCCUAGUUUAUUAUAGCACAGAGCCUGAGGGCAGGCUUCAGGGAAAAGAUUUCUGCCUCCAGGUGCCUGGAAGUUAUGGAUUUCGCAGCUUAAAGAGCUCGCUUGUUUCCUUGCAUUAGACACAAAGGUUUGAAGGUUCAGUGCCUGAGCAGCAACUUUCUUCAAGACAACUCGAGCUUUGCAAGAAACUUAAAGCAUUGCCUUGUUACGCCCUUUCUGUUCAGUCUGUGCAACUACUCUGUGCCUGUUUGAAAGCUUUGAAUUUAAAUCGGAUGAGAGGGAGGACUCUAGACACACAAAUAAGUGUAAUGGCAGCCCCAGAGCAAAAUCAGCCACCGACUGAAGUGGCCCUUUCUCUCUCACAAAGUGGGUACUUUUGCUCUCUUCCCUAUCACUUGGAGCACUGAGAGCAACACCAAAAAAGGGGGAGAGGAAAAUAUUUAAGAAGUGUAGGCAGAGGAAAUAUACAGUGGUAAAUAACCUACGGAAAUAGAGGUCUGGUCUUUGCAGGGAUGGGGAACGAUGUUCGAAUUCCUGCUCCAUGAUUGCAGUCAUGGGAUUUUUGUCUUUCACAUGACGUUAUAUGUUUUGACUCCACAAAGUGGGAAGUGACGGAGACAGAAUGUUUGUGUUACUGUGUUCCGUGAAGUGGGACUAUUGUCCUUUGUUUUGUUUUUUUCCUCUUUGCUGUCUGAUGCUAGAGAGAGAGAGUGAGCCAUGUUGCAGCGCUCCGUGUGUGUUUAUAUGUAAAUAAAGUAGAUUAGCCAAAACGCUGAGUUGCUGAGGUCUGUCACGCAAGGUGUGCAAACUCUGCGGAUCCCUAAGUGUGCCGGUGUCGGUUGGCAUCGGUCGCUGUGAUGUUCAGGCAGAAGAAAGCUUUUGAAGCCCCCGAAUGAAAGACCAGGAGGGAGGGAACAUGUGUCUUUGCCAGGGUCCUACUCGAGUGUAGGCUGAACUCCUGACAAACAUGUGGCCCUCCAGAUGUUGUUGGAUUCAAAGUCUCAUCUGCCCCAGCCACUAUGGUCAAUCAAGGAGGAUGGAAGCUGUAGUCUGGCAAAACUGGGAUAGCUCAAUUGGUAGAGUAUCAGACUCUUAAUCUCAGGGUUGUGGGUUCCAGCCCCACCUUGUGCAAAAUAAUUCCUGCAUUGCAGAGGGUUAGACUAGAUGACCUGCAUGGUCCCUUCCAGCUUUAUGAUUCUGUGAUUCUAACAUCUGCAAGGCAACUCAUUCCUCAGUCCUGUUGUUUACCACCUGCCUAGACGUGACUAAUGGCGACCACGUGGCACAUUACGGUCCAGAAUAGAAAUCAAUCCAGCGACUCCAAACCGUAUUUGCUUCUGCUGUAGUUUUCAGCCUGCUAACAAUACACAACUGAUUGCAUUCCUCCACCCCACCCUGCUAUAUAAAUUGUUUCCUUUGCAUUGGAAUUUAUGGUGUGGAAAUAAUCACACCACAGAUUACGUUGAUUAUUUGUAUCUUGCAUAACUCAUUGCGGAAAUUUCGUUAAAUAGUGGACAGCAAGAUGAAUGUGGCAUAAACUGCAGAAAAACUGAAGCAGCUGGUGAUGCCAGAGGCAGAAAUUGCAACCAGUCUAUAACUGUGUUGGCCCUUCGGCUCCCACUAGCUAAUAAUCCUAACAUGCAUUUCUCAUUUUGAGUAAGGAGGCAUUGGGGGGGGGCACCUUGCCUUGAAUUCACUGUGAUCAAAGGUUGGCUUUUGAAAAUUCAGCCAUUGGUGGGUGGGAAUUAAAAACUAAAACCUGUAGGAAGAUUGGCAAAUGAAGAUGAUGGACUUUUCGGAGCUAGCCGACCUGACUGGAAGAGUCCGUGACCAGAAGGAGGAGGAUCACCAAGAAGAAUGGAAGAAAUAUAAAGACUAUUUCGUUAAAUAUGUUAAACUAACUUAACUGGGAAAAGCUUGCAAAAACCAGAUAGGCUUAGGAUUUAAAUAUGUAGGGUGACGAAAUAACAUGCUCAAAGUUGAACUGCAAAGCAAGAAAGAUGUUAAGUGAAUAAGUUAAAUUUUUAAGAAUUUAGGUUUUGGAAAACAGUUAAAAUGAUUUACACUGAAAUUCAACCAGGGGAAUACGAGAAAGUCACUUAAUAAUGUUAAUUGGAUUAGUUUUAAUAAGGUUAUGAUUUAUGUUUGUUUGUGUAUCUGUUUUGUUUGUCUACGAAAAAUAUUUUGUGGAAAAUUAAUUUUAAAAAAUGAAAAAUAAAAUAAAAACUAAAACCUGUAGUUUGAGGAGAAAUAAACCCAUAUUUUUAAAAAAGCAAUGCAUAGGAGAGUAAGAAACAAGCAUGAGAUUUGGGAGGACUGGGCUACCUUGGUACUUGAAUCUGCAAUGGUUUUAUAUGAUUAGAAAUAGUACAAGACUUCAAUAAGAGAGAAAGCUGGAUUCAAACCUCAUAACCCUAUGUAUUCUCUUCCCAGUGCAGAGAAUAACAUCAAAUAGAAGGCUGUGGUAAAGUAGGCCACCCAAGAGAAGCAAUGCCUCAUGAACUGCACUCUGAGUCUUUAGCAAAGGAGCCAUUGAUAAAUGUACAUGAUGGUUUUUAUAAUAUGAAUAUUGCAAGGAAGUGGGUUGUCUUAUAAAAAAAAAAAGCUCAGAUAACUGAGCUUCCUCAUCCAGCGGGUACCCAAUAUUUAAAUAGAAUAUGUGAGCAGUGCAUAACAGCUUUCUGUGAUAAGUUCUCAAAUGGAAGCAGAGCUUUUACUCUUGACUGAGGCAUGAAAUGUCAGCUCUUGGAGAUUAGGAUUCUGCAGUAGGAUUGGCUUAGGAAUUGCCAGAGUGGAAAGCAGCGCUUUCAUUCUAAUAUGGGCUUGUUCCCUAAUGCGUAAAAGCAAAGCUUCUUCUCCUCUUGCUUGCAAAAAUGCUAACUCGACUCCACAUUUUCUGUUUGUAUACUUAGAUGCAGCUAUGGGGUGAAAUUCACCUGCCUGGAUUAAUAAUAAGAAUAAGUCACAGAGAGGUGCUUUGGACGAAGGCAAAUAGAAGCACAUUAUCUCAGUGAACCUGCUACACUAAUCCUGAAAAUUCACCACACUUGGAAAAGCUACUAAAAUACACCUACACAAUCAGCCAAAAAGAUCAGUAGAACCAGCAAGUAGCAAUCAAGAUAAAAGACAGCAAAAGCACUUCUUGGCUGUUGCUAUUUUGGGUUGGGAUUCAACCACAAACUUAAUAAAUUCAGGUUGCACUGUUAUAGUUAAUAUUGAGGUUCUGGACUUUUUGCAGUAAGGAAAGUGAUGUUCUGGAAAGUGUAGACUAUCAAUUGCUCUAACACAGCAUCAUCUAACCUCUUGCAAUUAAAUCAGAAUGAAUGCUCUUUAAAUGGUCUAAUCUCCUUGCGAAUAAAUCAGGAUGAAUGUUCAAUAAACAACUCAUAUGGAAGCGCUCCAUGUGAAAGGUAAUUUAGAUGGAUCAUAAAAACCAUCAAAAGCUGUCACAAGCACAAAAGUGCAAGAUAGACUUUGCCUGCUGCCUAGAAGAUAAGAAAGUUGGCACCAGCUGAAUAUGUCAGAGCAGAGUUCCAGGAGCCCAACAGUGCUGUGGAAAAGGCCCUUUCUCUGAUAGUCAUAAAUCCAAACUUCAAAGGCUAAAGAAGAGGUCUAAAGUGGCAAGGAGGUUCAUGGGAGAAAAGGUGGUCUCCUAGAUCUCUCAGUGAGACAACCGCUUUGAAUGAUGCCACAAGGACAGAACUGGUGAUGAAGGCAGGACUUAGCAUAGCACCACUGAAACAUCUGAUUGUGCUGCUGGGAUAUUUUUCAGUGCCCCUGAAAUGGAAAAUGCACCCCAUGAGAAAGGCAUGCCCCUACUGGGAGGGGUAAUUGCAGUGAGAAAACGGGGAGGGUUUUUAAAGUGCAUGGGGAUAUAUUAAUUGACAUGUAACAUUAUUCUAUAUGAAUGUCCCUGGGAGACAUGCUAUGUCAUGACUUAAUGUAGUUCCCAGGAGUAUUUUGACCUAGAUUCCUGGAGAGACACUGUGAUGCUACAAGUGGAUGUUAAAGUUUAAAUUUAAGUUUGAAAAGCAGCCUUAUGGAGUUGGUCACCUUAUGGAGUUAAGUAAGCCCAGUACAUUUCCGAGCACAAUUCAAAGUGUUGGUGCUGACCUUUAAAGCCGUAAAUGGCCUCCGUCCUGUAUACCAGAAGGAGCGUCUCCACUCCCAUCAUUCAGUCCAGACACUGAGGUCCAGCUUUGAGGGCCUUCUAGUGGUUCCCUCAUUGAAAGAAGUGAGGUUACAGGGCACCAGGCAGAGGGCCUUCUCGGUAGUGGCGCCCACCCUGUGGAACACCCAGCAGAUGUCAAGGCAAUAAACAACUAUUUUACUUUUAAAAGACAACUGAAGGCAGUCCUGUUUAGGGAAGUUUUUAAUGUCUGACACUGUAUUGUUUUUAAUAUUUGGUUGGAAGCAGCCCAGAGUGACUGGGGAAACCCAGCCAGAUGGGCGGGGUAUAAAUAAUAAAUUAUAAUUAUAAUUAGUGUAGACAACCACUACCACCAAAAUGUUAGCAAAAUUCCAGGGAUGCCCCCCCCCCCAAUGAAUGGCACAACACCCCCAUUUUGCAGGUGAAAGAACCUGCAAGUGUGUUUGUGUUUUUGGCCCACCUUUACUUGGCAAAAGGUGAUUAUUGUGGUAGAGGAUCGUAUCCACAUCUUUCUGGGGCCAUAUUUGAUGCUGAGCCUUUCGUGAAAUGCACUUUGUCCUCCUGUUUGGCACAGUUUAGCACGUGGGCCAGUUCUUGCACUGUCGCCUUCUCCAUGAGUCACACAGAUUCUAAGGGAUGCCAGUCUUGUGUUAGAUUCAUUAUAUGAUUGGUUGGCUGCUUUGAAAGCUGCCUGUUUAGUAUGCGGUGUGGUGGUCCCCAUUUCACAUGGCCAUCUUUGAUAAGGACAGGCACAGCUCUGCAGUGUUUGACAUAUCGGAUCAGGCGUUCCUCUGGUCCAGCCAUCUGUUCCCAAGAGUAGUCAGCCAGACACUUUUUAGGAUACUUGCAAACAGAGUGUGAUGGAAAUAGCCCUCCCUUGCUGUUUGUCCCCAGCAUUUGCUAUUCAGAGUAGGAUUGAUCAGUGUAUUUCUGGUCUGUGUUGAUCUCACAUGCUCAUAAGUCUGUUCUGUCUCCUUUUCCCAUCAACCUGAUUUUCUUUAAAAUCCACAUAAAUAUCUGUUUUCAAAUAUGUGUUUUAUCACAACAAUUCAUACAUAAAUACAUGUUUUAGCUCAUCAUACGCAUUUCCAAAUGUAUUUGAUCCUAGAAUACCUACAUUCUGGUAUUUUUAAAAAAAUUGAAACUUGUAUUAUAAAAUUCAGAAAAUUGUGAAAUCCAAAAGACAAUUACACCCUGAGCCAUAUGUUAGCAGGGGAGGUCCAAAUUAGGUAUGUUCAAUGGGAAAAUAUAGACCAGAUGAAGUUAUUCUCCACCCUUAAUUUCAGAUUUAUAAUUUAAAAUGCAUUGUUAGGGAGUCUUCCUGUGAAUUUAGUCCAUGGGUAGGCAAACUAAGGCCCGGGGGCCGGAUCCGGCCCAAUCACUUUCUGAAUCCAGCCCGCGGACGGUCCAGGAAUCAGCAUGUUUUUACAUGAGUAGAAUGUGUCCUUUUAUUUAAAAUGCAUCUCUGGGUUAUUUGUGGGGCAUAGGAAUUUGUUCAUUCCCCCACAAAUAUAGUCCGGCCCCCCACAAGGUCUGAGGGAUCCCCUGCUGAAAAAGUUUGCUGACCCCUGAUUUAGUCUAUUCCUCUCUGAUUGUAUGGAACCAUUUAGGGGAGGGGUGUAUUUGAAGCUCUGUGGACUAUUAAUAAACUUCAGCUGAACCAAACUAUGAAAUUAGCAGCUGCAUCAUCUGUACCCUGCAGACACCCACUACAAUGAGACUGCAAAACUUCAUUGUUGUUGCUUGGUGCAUUUAUUCUGAAUGAAUCAUUGCUUUCUUUGGCAUGUGCACAUGGUGAACAUGUGGUGAAGGGGAGGGGAAGAUGGGCAGUGCUUCCAUAUGUCUAGCGUACAUCACAGAUACAACAUACUGUAUAUCGACUUGUAGCUGCUGGUUUUGUAAUAUGCAUAAAGGCCCUUGACUUUUAGAAAAAGAGUCGCAGGGUGUACGCAGUGUGAGCAAUUCCAAAAUCUAGAAGGUUCCUCAACCUAGAUACAGUUCCUCCCAAGCUACUGUUAUGAGUUGGAGGGUGGGUAGGUUGUAUCCGAAGACCCUUUAAAUUCCUGGAAUAGCCAGGCUAGCUUCCUCGUGAGAUAAUGAGUGGGCACCCUUCCCACAACUGGCUGGUAGUUAGAAGGACAAAGGCCAGAGUUGAGAGUGGAGUUAUGUGAGCAAGAUGCUAGAAGCAAAGCUGAGCAGGGCAGCUGAGUGACAAAGCCAUGCCUAAUUUCUGCUGGAAUCCAAGGCUGUGGCAAGACCCUCUUGGAGUGUUAAUGCUGUGAACCCCUCCAUCGUAGGCUCAGGUUGUAUAUUUGUGUGAAUAAACCAUAUAUCAUAAAGACAACACAGUCUCUCCUGUACCUCAUUCCAAAGGAAACACAAACCCUGGAACCCCAGGAAUCUUACGUCACUCGGAGAUUGCGGUUAAGGUUAGGGUUUGAUUCAGUUCAUAUUUAAAGGCAAACCUACCUGACUGACACUUUCUGAAACCAUACGCGAGCUGACACAAGCAGCCAUCCUGCAACACCUGAAUUUUGCAAAGCAGUUCUCUAGCCAAGUAACGUAUGCAAAAAUGCAAAAUACUGUUGUAAAGUGUGCCUAUAUAUUAGUGAAACCAUAAUACAAAAAUGCAUUCUGUUAGGGAAAAUAGCUUUGGGGAAAUGUGUAAUCGGGCAAUAGUGCAAAUAGCUUUGCAAAAACGUGUGCAUUAGGAGAAAUUAGCACUAAAAUGCUGGUGCAUUUUCAGGAGGACUUGGGAAAAUGAGUAACAGAGAGCAACUGACAGAUUUGUGCAUCCCUGGUAGCCAGUAUCUCCUCCAGAACAAGCAGGAUGCAUCCCAUUGGCUAUCAACUUGCAUCAUCUGGAGUGGGAAUUCUGUUUGUUGGAACACCCUCUGCCCUAUUCAGAGGGUAAUUUCAGGCCCACCACAGAUAGGCUUAACCCGCAGGGAUGCCCUGUGUGUGGUCAUGCAGUUUUUAACAAUCAUCGCUGCAGACAGAUCCACCACUCAUCAGCUUGGGGAUUACCCUGCUUGCUAUGUCUUGUUUCAACAGCUGCUGUUUCAGAAGCACUGCCUUCAAGCAAAACAUCAACACAAGCAAAUUCACUUUACUCCUUGUAACAAUGCUGCCACAUGUCUUCACAAGAUCAUGUAUUUGAAAUGUUCAGUCUAUGUGCCGUUGGGAUGAACUCGCAACCUAUUUAGAAGACUGCCAAUUAUAACGCUAAGGGGUCUCCCAUUUGCCUUGGCUAAUGUUGCAACCACAAAGGCUCUUUUUGUCUCUUCUUCACAUGGACACAUUGGCUUAGAGGCUUAGCGGCCACAAACACUUCGGUAAUAAAGACUAUGAUGGGGUUACGUUGUUCAAAACUCCCUGGAAACAGAGCAGCUAGCCUAGCUUGUGUAGAGGCUGAAUGUUUUCCUUUUGUUCUCGUCUAUUCUUAGCAUCGCUACUCAGUUUCCAUCCAGUUGAACCAGUAAAGUCAACACCUGUCUUUCUACAUAUAGACAAGUGUAUUUUCAGACCCUUCCCCCUUCCACUGUUUCCUUUCCCUGGAACGGAUUCCAGUUUGUCUCUAUGACUGGCCCUCACUGUCACGUUUCCUGAAUUGACCUUUUUCAUCACACUCCUUUUUAGGAUCUUCUCUCCCUAUGAACUGAAGGGCUUAGCAGGAAUGGCGGAUCUAGGCUGACAUCAGGGACAGGUGAGAAAUCUGAUUUUGUCUGUAUUUUAAUGAGAAGCUUCCUAAUCCAUACAGUCCAAGCCAAUAUGCUAACCGAAACAUAGCUAUUCUCUUAAUUUUGCACAUUUCCAAAUUUUGCACUAGUUUGAUUCUUAUUGUAGUUUAUCUCAAAAAUUCUCAAAAAAAAAUUUUUGGGUGAAAUUUGCACAUUUCCCAUUUUUGCAAUGCACUUCACCAGCAACUAAGAUGUACAAAAGUGCAUACAUUAGGAGAAAGCAUGCAUAUGAAAGAAUACAUUAGUGAAAGCAAUGUCAGUGUGCAUUAGAUAGGUUGGCCCUAAAAUAUGAACUGAAUCAAAUUUCUUCUCCACCCCCAAUCUUGAGAUCCUUUUUAAAAAAAAACUUGGAAAUACCAUGGAGCAAAACCAGGACCUUCUGUGUGCACAGAAUGUACUCUGUCAUUGAGCUAUGGAACCUCUCCCCUCCUUCUUGGAGAGGAUGACGGAGAAGGAACUGCAAGUGUUCUUGGAUGACACAGCUCAUCUGGUUCAAACUUCAGUAUUUGUUUAGGCCUGGUUUUGAAAGUGCAUGUCAGGCGUCAGAUGCUCCAACCCUCCACAGGGUAGGUUGCCAGGAAACGAUAAGACAAGGAAAGUUCUUACCAAUGUUGUUUAUUCAAUAUUUCCAGAGAGAGGCUUAGAAAUGCAGCCUCCUGGAGCUAUGGCAUUGCUCCAAGUGAAACCCCACCCCCUCCAUCUCUCCCAUUAUGCGUUAUCCCUACGGUAGCUGAGCUGUGCCUUCUGCCUCAGAGCUCUCUGCUCUCCUACUUUCAAUGCCGACCAGGUUCUGGGGGGGGGUCUGAUAGAUAGAUGAUAGAUAGAUGAUGAUGAUAGAUAGAUAGAUAGAUAGAUAGAUAGAUAGAUAAUUUAUUACUGUCGGAGACCAGCUUAUAAAACACACUUGGGGGUACAGUCACAGAAGGAAAACAAACAAUUAAAACAAUGUACAACAAUAAAUUUAAAAACAAUGUACAACAAUAAACUACCGCAGGGAGCUGACCCAGAGUCACCCAUAGAACUGAGUUUCGGGAUUUUCUUAGCAAACUAGUUUGAGUUGGGAGAUGGUCUGCGCCUACAGAUCUGUACACAGAAUCUAGCGACCAUCCGGGUCAUCUUCUGAUCUUUGCCUAACAGGAAAAGGUUGAAGUUUUGCUUUUCCGGGAGGUCAGCGAGCCUCACCAGUAGGGGAUCAAUGGUCUUACUACGUGCCUCUUCAUAAAAGGGACAUCUAAAGAACAAGUGCUCUGGGCUUCCUAUCUCCCCCAAUGAACAGCGCAAAGUCUCUGAGCAUAUGCGGGGGGUCUGGAAUGCUUUCUAAAGACACUGAGUCUGUCAGUUCUCUCUCCCCUGGUGUUUCUUCCUCCUCCUCCUCCUCCUCUCCCAUUAUUUCCCAGCUUUCCCCCUCAUCUGCCUCAGAGUUGUGAUCUCCCUCAACCCCCUGUUGUAAUUCUGAACUGUCUCCUUUUUCUCUGGAAGGGUCAGGCUGGGGAAGCGGUCUCCACUAUUCCUCCUCUGCCCAGUCCCUGACAGUGAAUCAGCCUUGGUUGCCCUGACAGAUGACCUGUCUCAGGAGAAGGUCAGGGGGAAUGUGAGCUUGCUAGUAUUACUCAGUUUCUCAGGGGAUUUUGAUAUCAUUGACCAUGGUAUCAGAGGCACUGUAUUACAGUGGUUCCCUUCCUAAUGGCAUGGCCAAGUCCAGAGAGUUGCAUUCGGGGUCCAUGGGACACUAUUUUGUCUCCAGUGCUAUUCAACUCUAUAUGAAGCCACUGGGAACAGUCACUAGGAGUUUCGGAGCAUGAUCACACACAACUCUACUUCUCCAUAACAUCUGACUCAGGAGAGGCUGUGCAAGCCAUGAUCAGUGUCUUAAUGCAGUGGUGGACCAGCUGAGGACCAAUAAACAGAGUUUGAAUCCUGGGAAGAUGGAGGCUCUGUUGAUAGAUUCUUCCCAUGUCUGGAAGUUGGGUCAGUUGCCUGUCCUUGAUGGAGUUGCACUCCCUCUAAAGGAGCAGGUGCACAGCUUGCAUAUGUCCUGAAUACAUCUUUGUCAAUAGAGGACCACGUGUCCUCAGUGGCUCGGAGUGCCUUUUACCAUCUUUGCCUGGUAUGCCAAAUACAGCCGUACCUGGAUUGGGAUAAUUUGCUCACUUUAGAGCAUGCACUGAUAACCUCAAGGCUGGGCUACUGCAAUGGGAUUUGUACAGAGCUGCCCUUGCACCUGGUUCAGAACUCCCACUGGUGAAGAACACAGAGCCUAGACUGGUGAUGGGGACAGACAACCAACAACAUGUAGCAUCUCUGCUAAUCAUCUGCACUGGCUUCCCACAUAAUCCUGGGUCAUGGUCAAGAUUCUUGUGCUGGAUAUACAAAGCCCUGAACAAUUUGGGUCUAGGCUACCUUAAUUCAGCUCGAUCACUGGGAACUUGUGGAGGAGCAUUGCUAGUUGUCCACCUGUGUUACAAAGGCCCAGUUGUCCUCAACUAGAAGUCAGGUACUUAGCGUUACUAGUCCCAUGUUGUGCAACAUUCCUCCAGCAGAGAUUCAGGAAGCAUCCUCACUUUUCACUUUCAAGCAUCUCCUGAAGAGCUUUUUAUGCUGGCUUGCCUUUGCAGUUGUUCAAAAUGUCCCUUGCAUAGCCAGUCAUUUUGACAAUUGCUUCAUAUUGCUUUUAAGUCUUUUUUACGUCAUUGUACACCACCCUGAUGUUUUUCAUGAGGUCAGUAUAAAAAUACUUUUAUAAAUAAAUAAUUUCUUCUUCCUCUUCCUCUUCCUCUUCCUCUUCCUUUUCCUCUUCCUCUUCUUCUUCCCAACUGCUUCUUGGUCUCCCCAGCUAAGUCACGGACUGACUAGUUUUCUAUAAGCUGCAUUAAAAAAACAAACCGAAAACCAAAGUAUAUUCCCUCCCUGUCCUCCCAUUACAUCACCUCCUGGUUGACAAAUCCGAAUAAUUAAUUUUUUAUCAUUGUGCUCCUAGGCUGACAUUUCCAUCUUAAAAGAAAGAAAGGAGCAUGUUUAAUUAAAGAAGAAAGUGCUUGGGUUUAACAACACUUCAAUCACACAUACACAGUUUAAUAACAUGCUGUCCUUUCAGAGCAACACAGUCGCUUUUCAAGCAAUAUUUACUCUCCCCCUCCGCCAUUUCUAAAGUCUGUUUUCUCUGAAUCGUCGCAGCAGCAAUCUGCCAAAAGCUGAACACAAUUAGCAGAGACCAGAAGCAUGAAAUUUGUACACUCAAAUGCUUUGGGAGUGACUGGAUCCAUUCAUUUUGGGCUGUAUCACUCAGUACCACACAUCGGCUUCUUGUUCCACCAAUAUUAUUGCUGAAUGACUUUGAAUAAGACCCUUAACUGGGUUUAAUUCUGUUUGUAUUUUUGUGUGUGUGUGUGUGUGUGUGUGUGUGUGUGUGUGUUGGAUUGGUUGGAUGCAGAGGAAUGGUGGGAGGAACCAGCUGGGGAACCACCAAGGGAAGAAGACUCAGAGCCCAGGCAAUGGUGGCAGGAGACAAUGAGUGGUCAAAGGGGAAAGCUGCAGAGGUAACAGGGCUUAGUGAGCUGGGCGAGUCUGUGGCAGAGAGAAGCCCAGAAUCAGAGGCAGAAGCUGAAACAGGAAAGGAAGAAGCCAAGAGGCAUCGAUGAGUCAGGCUGGUGAAGAGUCCUGCUGCGACAAGCUCCCGUUCCCCCCUGACUCCCAGAACCAGAAGAGGCAUGAAAAGGGAGGAGCCAAGGCAGGCAAGAUAGGCUCAGUCUCUGAUUGCUUGGAAAAAGCCCUGGGGAGGAGUAGACAGCUGUGGGGAAGCAGGGGCUUUCAGUCUCAGCAACUGAUUUCAUGGAGUAAGACCUAUGGGGAAUGAGCUGUUGUGCUCAUUAGGCCAAGUCAGUGCUCACUCAGCCAAGUCUGUGAAGAUCACGGUUUUGCUCCAACUCUGGACUGUGCGAUUUACUGUGCUUCACUCUGUGACAGUGUGAGAGAGAGUGAGAGAGAUAUAGAUAUAUAGGCAUUUGUGUGCUGAUAUAUAACACAAAAAUUUCUGGGCAGGUUGCAAUAAAUCAGUAGAUACAAAACUCACAAUCUAAAUAUAAAAUUAAACAUAAAACCAUAAAAUCAAAAUCUGUCUUAAGUACAACACAAACAAAAACUCACCACACCCCAAAAAUUGAGGCUAAAAAACUGCAAACUGUUUUGUGUAUUGCUACAUUGCAAAAUUUGUUUCAUAACAUUUGGAGGUUGACUUUUUUCAGUAAUGAUGCGAAACGAUCCUAAGUCAGAGAAAAAAUAAAUGGAAAAUGUAGGCACUGGGGUUCCUUGCAGCUUCUUAAGUCAAGCAGUUUCUGGAAAUGACAGGGGGUAAGCAAAGGAAUUAAGAUUUUGUAAAGGAACUAAAUGCAAGUUAUCACCCUGAUACAUAAUAUUCACCCCAAGGUUCUGAAAGAACAGGCAGAGACAAUUACAGGGCAGUUAUCAAUCAUUUUUGACAACUCAUUAAAAACAGAUGAGUUACCAGUUGACUGAAGGACAGCAGGGGAAGUCACAGCAUUUAAGCAGAUGAUAAACAGGAAAUUAGAUGCCAUUGUAACCAACCUUAAUACCUUAUUUAAAGCAUAAAGGCUAAGAAUAAUUACUGCAAUGCAAACUUUUCACUCCAAGGUGAUUUAGAUUAAGGUAUCAGAGCGCUGAGAGAGUGGUAAAAGGCAGAGGUCAGUCCUGAUCACCUUUUUCGUAGCUAGGACUUUUGUGUGGGAAGAGGGCGGGGAAGAUGCUAGGCAAGGAAAUUGAUGGGAUGGAGGAAAUGGAGAACAACUUAUCUAUUACGCUGUCCUCAUCAAUCAUUGCUUAAUGAAGUAUAAGUAGCAUGGAUCAAAAUCCUAGUAUCUCUAAUGGUCACAGGGAAGGAGAAGCUUUAGAAAUCCCUUUUAUUGGACCAAUAAGUUGCUCAUAUCAACACCAUAUAUCUCAAGCACUCUUAUAUAGUGGUACCUCGGGUUAAGAACUUAAUUUGUUCUGGAGGUCUGUUCUUAACCUGAAACUGUUCUUAACCUGAGGCACCACUUUAGCUAAUGGGGCCUCCCGCUGCCGCUGCACAAUUUCUGUUCUCAUCCUGAAGCAAAGUUCUUAACCCGAGGUAAUAUUUCUGGGUUAGCGGAGUCUGUAACCUGAAGCGUCUGUAACCCGAGGUACCACUGUACUGUUUUUAGAGUCCCCCAAGGAAUAAUGGGAAUUGUAGUUUGUUAAUGGUGCUGAUCUCACAAAGUUACAAUUCCAAGCACAGUUCCCAAUAUUCUCCAUGACGGUUAACAUGGCAUAAGAGUGCUUUAAAUAUAUGAUGUGGAUAGGUGCUUUAAAAUCUUGCAGAUCAACUUUUACAGCACUUGUUGUUCUGUUGUUCUUUUGGGCAGACUUUCAGUGCUCAAGGUAAGAGCAGAAAUUAGAUAUUGCCUGAAGUCAGGAGGAUGUUUACUUUGCAGGGUCUUUCCUGUGUGCCAGGCCAAAAUUCAACAAAUAAAGCCUUCCCCCUUGUUGUCUUGUUCUCAGAUGGUGAGAGAGAGGCAGAAGAGAGCAAAAAUUUAGGAGAUGUCCCCCAGAUCAAUGGGAUUAACCCUUUCCCUGUGGAUCCCUGAUUCCCCAGCUGCCUUUUGCCCCAUUAUGGAAAACUUACAGGAGUGCAAGCCGUGUUAUCUGAAUGUUGCAUUCAAUAGCAGCUGAUAUGUAGCACCCAGAUACUCUGGCCACAAAGAAGGAGCAGUGAAGGCUUGACUUAAACCCUUUCCAGGUGUUCAGUCACCUCACAUGUAAGCCCCGCCCCCUCUGGUGUGACAUCUAUCCAUGCGUUUGAGGGGCGAGGUCUGACAUGGGAUGAAAGGUCCGUGUAGAUAUUUAGGUAAAGGGUAAAGGGACCCCUGACCAUUAGAUCCAGUCGUGGCCAACUCUGGGGUUGUGGCGCUCAUCUCGCUUUAUUGGCCGAGGGAGCCGGCGUACCACUUCCGGGUCAUGUGGUGAGCAUGACUAAGCCGCUUCUGGUGAACCAGAGCAGCGCACGGAAACGCCGUUUACCUUCCUGCCGGAGCGGUACCUAUUUGUCUACUUGCACUUUGACAUGCUUUCAAACUGCUAGGUUGGCAGGAGCAGGGACCGAGCAACGGGAGCUCACCCCGUCGCGGGGAUUCGAACCGCCGACCUUCUGAUCGGCAAGCUCUUGGCUCUGUGGUUUAACCCAAUUUAGAGAUUUAGAGUCUGGCAAAACCUCGAUUUUAAAUAGAGGGUGGAGGCUUGAAGAGGCUCCAGACUUCACCUUCAAUAAACAACUAUUUUACUUUUAAAAGACAACUGAAGGAGGCCCUGUUUAGGGACCUUUUUAAUGUCUGAUGCUGUAUUGUUUUCAAUAUUUAGUUGGAAGCUGCCCCAGAGUGGCUGGGGAAACCCAGCCACAUGGGCAGGGUAUAAAUAAAUUAUUAUUAUUAUUAUUAUUAUUAUUAUUAUUAUUAUUAUUAUUUCAACCUCAUGGAUGGCUCUCAACAGCAUACAGAUGACAGCAGAUUUGGCAGGGCUUUGGCAAUGCAUCCGUGCUUUUCCUAACACGCUUGUUUACAAGUGAGGAGGCUGAAUGGCCAAAUAGGGAUCUUGCCCUGAGCUACAUAUAAAAAACAGUUUAGUGUCAAAUGCACAAAUUAUCACUUUCCAGGGUACAAUUCCCUUCCCAACAUCUCUGCAGCAGUCAGUCGCCCAGUAGGGUUGCACUAGCCACAGCAAUAGCCUCUUGUCAAUGGAGUGCCAACUGCCAUCAUCACCCACUGAAAUUAGUGGGUGGUGAUGGAUGCAUCUUAUCUCUAGAGCAGUGGCACCCACAUCCGUGCACUGGGCAGGUCACAUCGCCUGUUUUUUCAAACACUGCAGCUGCUGAUAAAUCUUUUUAAACUGUUGAACAGAGCCAGCCCUACCAUUAGGAGGCUGCCUCAGGCAGCCAGCUUGCAAUGUCAGGGAAGUUAUUUAAUUUCCUAUUUUUGUAUUUUUACUGCUAGGGAGUGAGAGAGGUGUUUGUAAGGUUUUCUGCCUCAGGUGCCAGAAUAACUUGGCUGGUCUUGAAUCCUAUAUAUCCUGACUUGACAUAAGUAGAGGCCACCAUUAGGCUCCAACUUAGGCGGCAAAAUGCCUUGGGCUGGUUCUGGCGAUGACUUAUGAUUUUGUACCUUUAUUUAUUUAUUUUUAAAACCCUACUCGUCGUUAAUAAAUCAUUCUAUUUGUUUUGAAAGGUUUCUAAGCUGUGUUCUGGGAGUAAUAGCCCUCACAAGGUGAUGUGCAGUUGUAAAAUAAAAUGUAACACUGUAUACAUCACCCAUAUAAACCAAUGCGCCUGUUAAAGUCAUGAUACACAUCUCAUGUAUGAUCUAGUUGAGAUUCCUGCAAUUCAGGGGGUUGAACUAGAUGACCCUCGGGAUCCCUUCCAACUCUUCAAUUCUACAAUUUUAUGUUUCAAUGAAUGAUACAAAUUGAUCCAAAGCACAAGGCUUAAUGAAAUGCAGACUGAUAAGUGGGUACAGGUUUUCAGCCUAAAUUGAUAUGAUAUUUUCAGGUGAGUGUGGGGGGAGUGGAGUCUAUAGGUAUGGAGACACCACCAAGAAAGCCCUGCUCCUGGUAUCUACCAGUCUAGCAUCUUUCAGUGAUGAGCCAGAGGGCAAGGACUUAGAUAUGGAUCUUAACACACAAGCAGCCUUGUGCUGCUGCAGGUUGUGUUUCAAAUAACAACGUCCCAUCAUUUCUGCCAUAUUAACAAAUAUAACCCUCAGUGAUAACAAAGUUAUCAAUGAUAUCUUUAUAUGUGUUAAUGCCACAAUUUUCCCAGUGCAUCUCUAACCACAUGAAUUCGCAUCCUUUUUGCUUAUAAAUCAGUGGGAGGCAAACCGUUGCAGACUAAAUUAAUCUGGUAAGCCAAGUUGCCUUCAGCGAUAUUCUGAUUUUGAGAUUCCCCACGAGCAUUUUUCUGGACUGCAGAAAUCAAUUCUUAAACAAACAAGCAAAUAAGCAAUGAAAUCAGAGAUGCCAACUGCGUCCGUGGUUUCACUCCAGAAGAAAACAGUUACAUCAGAGAGGUAACCUGUAGUUAGAUGCACAAACGUACCACAAACCCUGCUCUCUGAGAUUCUUAAGGUGGUCUCCCUGCCCAGCAGCAUAGAGGGAACAACUGGUGGAUGGGUGGUGUGAGAGACUGGGCAGAGGAGGAAUGGUAGAGACUGCCUCCCUAUCCUGACCCUUCCAGGGAGGAGGAAGAAGAAGACAGUACAGUGGUACCUCGGGUUACAUACGCUUCAGAUUACAUACACUUCAGGUUACAGACUCCGCUAACCCAGAAAUAAUACCUUGGGUUAAGAACUUUGCUUCAGGAUGAAAACAGAAAUCGUGCUCCAGUGGCGCGGUAGCAGUGGGAGGCCCCAUUAGGUAAAGUGGUGCUUCAGGUUAAGAACAGUUUCAGGUUAAGAACGGACCUCCGGAACUAAUUAAGUACUUAACCCGAGGUACCACUGUAUAGAUUUACAAUAGGGAUUUGAGGGAGAUGAGGGGAAAAGUUGAGAAAUCAUGGGAGAGCCAGAAUAGCUGGCUGACACAUCAUUAGAAAGCAUUCCAGACCCACCAUCUCGCAGAAUGCAGCGGGCCUUAAAAGUAGGAGAGCAAAGAACUCGAAGACAGAGGACACUUAGCAGCACCCGUAGAGGAGGUGAUGAUGAUGACGAAUGAGGAAGUGGGAGAGACGGGGGAUGGAGAUUCACUCAGGACAAUACCAUUAUCCAAGAGACUGGGUGCUAUAGCCUCUCUCUUUUAAGUUUGAAAUAAAAGAGGACUGUAAGAAACUUUCCUUGUCUUUAUAUUUUCCUGGGCAUCCUGCCAGGAGCCGCUGACAGCAACCUGACAGGUGGGUUGCCCUGCCUUCCUGACAUUCAUGUCCCAGCCACCUAUCAGGAUGAUGCGGGGGGGGGGAGGCAGUGAGUUCAGAGCUUUAGAUGGUCAUCCAUGAAACUCUGUCCUGUCCCUCCUCCCCAUGGUCCCGGUACUUAGCAGUGGUGCCAGCAGGGUGGCUGUAAGCAGGAUAUAACUCUCCCUGCUGGCCACUCCUUAGUGAUGUACUUUAAAGGUGCUCAGCACAGCAGCCCGUGGUCUUAUUUACCUGUACUCUAAGGGGGCUCCUUUACCGGUAAAUUCCACCAACUUCUGCCAAAAGGAAAGUGUUGCAGCAAUUUCCCCUUCUCCAUAAUAGUGAAUGGGGAGUAGGAGGAACAAAGUUUUUUUCUGAAACAGAUCUGGAUCAUGAGCUGAACCAGGCAACCUCUUUGGACCACAGUGGGCUGCAUCCCAAAGCAGCGUAUCAGUAUCUGAAGCACACACCCUUACCUCAGCCUGCUUAGCUUCAGCAGUGGAACAGGAUUAUGUGCCUUAAGACAAGUUUUGGAUAAGGCAUCUCUGUGUAUUGUAUUUAGUAGCCACAUGCAUGUGCUCCACAGCCCUGAAGCCAUUAAUGCUAGGUGGCACCUACUUCACUGGGCUUGACGACACACGAAGAAAAUGUCCAUCUCCCAGACCACUCUCUGCAAGACAGAUUGGCCACGAAGAUACAGAAGUUAGCCAUCACUGUACCCGAUUAUUGCAGUGCUCUCUGCAUGAGCGAAUUCAUCUUUUAUUACUCUGCUGGCUUUAUAGUCAGGGAGAAUGCUGCUCUCACAAGGGUGAAAAUUAUGUGUGCAUGGAAAUUUGACAGCUGUCAUCCAUUUGGCGACUGCUGCUGUGAUCUUAAACCCAGUCCUUCUGAACGAGAAAGUGGUAUCUUUAUAAGCAGGUGAAAGCUUUGGUCAAUGGCAAAAUGAAGUGUAGAAUUGCCCACAGGACCAGAUCAUUGCUUUUUCUACCCUUCUUGCAUAUUUAACCUUUACCUUUUGUUUCCAGCAUGGAUAUAUAGAGGAAGAAGCUUUGCAGUCACCCUACGUUUCCCAUUAAGGCCUGUCCAUCAUGGAAAUAGGAACAAAUUCAAUAAACUUAUAAUGGCUGUUCAAUGAAAAGCUCACCUGCUCUGAUUCUAAAAUGGCAAAUCCCUUCUGCUGGGGGCAUGUCCAUGCUUAGUGUUUUCAUUUGUUGCUUUCACUGAAGGUUCUCUAAGCUUUCUGACAACGUUCAUGAAAUGUGACAGCCUUCUACAACCUGUUCCCCCCUAGCUCCUUCGGACUACGGUUUCCUUGAGCACCUGAUACAUGCAUUCAUUUGCAGACCUCUCCCUAGUACAUGUGACUUGGCUGAAGAAGCCACACUGCAAAAUCUGGAGAUGUGCGGGUUUUGAAGGAUGGCUGGGUUUCAGUUCAGAAAGUGCACAUUUGGUAAGUUUGCUUUUAAAUGCGCACUGAAUCAAUUUUGUCCCCAUACCUAGUUACAGUACAAAACAUCGGCAUGGCAUCAGGCCACAAAAGUCUGAAACUGGGCUGCAGCCUGCAAACAUCAGCUCCUCUAAGUGUCCCUAUUUUCCAGGGACACUCCCAAAUUUACAGAAGCCGUUCCGGCUUCUGAUUUGAUCCUGAAAUGUUCUGCUUUUGCUUAGGACAUCCCUGUUUUCAUCAGAGAAAUAUUGGAGGGUAUAGAGUUAUGCAACCCCUUAGCCAAGGUGAUAAGCUAAGUAACUAUGCAACCUUUAGAAGAUAUCUGAAGGCAGCCCUGAUAGGGAAGUUUAAAAAAAUAAUAAUAAUGUUUUAAUAUGUUUUUAUGUAUGUAGGAAGCCACCCAGAGUGGCUGUGGCCACCCAGUGGGUGGGGUAGUGUUGUUGUUGUUGUUAUAUUUUAUUGACUAGGACAUCCCUAUAUUUAUUGGAUAAAUGUUGGAGGGUAUCCUGCAACCAAUGUGAGACAUCAACUGCAAUUUUGUUGCUGCUGCUGCUUAAGAAGUCAUUGUGUCCUUAACUGCUGAAAAAGUGAGGUAAAUCUUUUGGAUUGUUUUGUGCAUCUCAGUCCAACUCUGAAAAGUGUUUGCUACUCUGAGGCAUCUCAAGGAUAACUCAAUAUUUAGUGGGGUGACUAAUACAUUUCAUCCCCGUCAACAGUUAUCAGAUUUAUCGGAUCAUUGGUUUAUCAAAAUAUAAGAAGAGCCGAAGAGUUUCUGCCAGGCAAAGAUUCGAUGAGCAAGAAUGACCCCUUCAGCAUUGCCAGUUAACCAGCAAAUGCUCAUACAGACAUGAUGCAGUGUUUCUAAAAAUAAACAUAGACGCUCUUGUGAUUGGUUGUGAACGAGGGUUAGGAUAUAUACUGUCACAUUCUGGCCUUUGCCACAGCUUAUUGCAAGCAGGAAAGAGUCGUUCCGCCCAUCUCUGCAGGCAGUUUUGGUGCUUUAUACCUGAACUCUAGAUUCCCAAUCUUCUCGAUAUACACUUUACAUUGGAAGCAGAAAUGGAAUGGGAGCCGGUGGAAAGAGCUCAAAAAGAACUGACUGCAUGACUUGGCUUUGAUUAAAAUCAUUGAGGCAGAGGAAGAGUGUGAUGUUCUUCUCACAACAGCACAGCAGUGAUGAGAAAGAGAGAGAAAGAGAGAGCAGGGAAUGGGAUUCACUGUUUGCAAACAUUGCAAAGUCACCCAUGCCCUGGAAAAAGCGCUUUGAGACGGAUUCAGUGAACACAUUCUACUAGAGGAAGCCAGUGCAAAGACUCCUGCUAGCACAAUACGACUUUCCCCUUUUCCAAAUCUGUGCAGAGAGUUGUGCGAACCCUUCUCCCCCCCCUCCAAGAACAGUGUGGGGAGGCAGAGGAGAGAGGAGCUUAUUCUGCUGCGUAAGCAGCAAUCCUUGCACUGAUGGCAUGAUCUCCUUGGCACUAUGUUGAAUUACAUGCACCUUUUUUAAUGAAGCAGGGUACAAAAGUGGAUUGAAGUGUUUGCACACCACAACAGUGCUAACUCCACACUUAUUCAGGAUGCUACUUGCCAGCUACCUAGCACUGAGACAGGAACCGUACUCCACCAUGAGUGCAAGGACACCCAGAGUGGCUGGAGCAACCCAGUCAGAUGUGUGUGGUAUAAAAAGUAAAAUUAUAUUUAUGGAAUGGGACGUCCCUAUUUUCAUCGGAGAAAUGACAGAGGGUAUGAAGGAGGCAGCAAGGCUGGUGUGGUGUAAACGCACCAACACAUUUGCAAUGUGCUGAUCUCACUGCCCACCCCACCCCACCCCCGGCUACUCUCCAUUCCAGUAAUGGUAAAGGACCCCUGGACGGUUAAGUCCAGUCAAAGGCGACUAUGGGGUUGCAGCGCUCAUCUUGCUUUCAGGCCGAGGGAGCCGGUGUUUGUCCACAGACAGCUUUCUGGGUCAUGUGGCCAGCAUGAUUAAACCGCUUCUGGCACAACAGGACUGUGGGGUGUGAAACACAGAGCAGUCAAAUACAACAUUCCUAGAGUGGACAUGUUUAGACAUGAAGAGGGAUGUUUGUCCAGCCAGUAGAUAAACUUCCUGUUUCCUCCCGAGCUGGGACAAACCGCCUCUACAUGUGACCAGAGGUGGGCGUGACCUUACCUGUGCAGGUAACAAAAGCACAGGGCUGGCCACCACACCUCCUCUUCUCCAUUUUGCUUUCGUCAAAGAAGCAUCCUUAUGGGAUAGAUUCCACGUGUAUAUAUUUUGUAACCUAAGUCUGCCUUCUGGGAUCCAUCUGUGAACAGAAUGUGUGAGUAAACUAUUUUAUACUUUUUAUACAAGACUGUGUCAUGUCUAUUCCUUUUAGGAGGGAAUAAAGGGGAAUUACCAGGAAACUUAUUUUAGAGGCUUACGCAAGCCUGGCAAACCUAUCCACUAUGUAAGUUUAAAAGGGGAAUGUUACUCUGCUAAAUUAUAGAACUUGUUAAUGCAAGUUGGAAAGGAUAUAAUUAAAAAAUAUAUCCUCUCCUGCCUCCCUGAACAUUCCCACAAGGACACAGAAACCAGAGCGCACGGAAACACCAUUUACCUUCCCGCCACAGUGGUACCUGUUUAUCUACUUGCACUGCCGUGUUUUCGAACUGCUAGGUUGGCAGGAGCUGGGACAGAGCAACGGGAUCUCACCCCAUCGUGGGGAUUCGAACCGCCAACCUUCUGAUUAGCAAGCCCAAGAGGCUCAGUGGUUUAGACAACAGCACCUAUACAGCAGUGGUGCAGGCAAAGAGAGGCCAGGUGAGCAGUAGAGCCCUACCACGACAUCCACUACUUGGAAAAGGAAUUAAAUCUGGUCUCCAAAUAUCAACCCUGACCACCCUACAGAGAUGCUAAUACCACCAUAGGCAAAAUCCAGUUGUUGUUGUUGUUUUCAUCAGAUGGAGUUCAUUCAUCCAAAUGGAGCGUGCCCUUCCAAAUUCAAGUGCUCUUUCUGCAUUUGCUUUUAUAUUAUACAUCUACUUUAAUUAUCAAGGGCACGAUUCUGAAUGAAACGAUUAUAUCAUUUACCUCUGGGAUUUCUAUAAGCCUAUUGAGUAUGCAUCAUUAAUAACAGAGAAGCUGACAUUAGGCAGUUUAUUUCUUAGUUUCAUUCUCAGCUCAUCUUUUUGCAUAAUACUUAAUUAAAUCAUUGUGAUAUUAUUUGAUCUUUUCAAGUCAAGGUUUGACAAUUACUUUUUAAUUUUAAAAUGUGAAGGGAAAUUAAUUUUUUGUAACUGCAUAGACAUCUCGGAAUGUGUGUUUCGGCAGUGAUAUCACAUUGUUGGAUAUCUCUGAAGCAUUUUGAGUGAUAACAGAUGGCUUGUUUUGCAGAUGAUUGAUGAAUAAAGACAUCCGUAGACCAGUGCAGAAUGGGCUGCAGGAAUUAGAGUUUUGCCAAAUAACCUGCUAUAAAAGCUUUGCACCACCGCUGUGAGAAAGCAUUAUUUUGUGCUAAGGUUUCAGAUAUCAAGAAGGUAAGGUGUUUCAUUUAUUAAUAGGGAAAGAGGGUUUUCAUUUUGGGAGGCAGGUGGAAAGGACUGAUGGUUUCAGCCUUCGGUUCAGUGGCAGAGAUCCUCAAAUGCCUCAGCAUGAAGAGAACUUGUUUCUUCAAGCAAAAUAUCUGCCCUGGCCCAAUGACUUAAAUAUAUAGCACACCAACAGAAGAAGAAGAAGAAGAAGAAGAAGAAGAAGAAGAAGAAGAAGAAGAAGAAGAACUGUCCUAUUGUCACUCCACUAUUAAGGGAUGUAAGAGCUUCCCCUUCUUCAUCACUGAAGGUACCAUCAAUAAACUCAGC